AGACGUAGGGGGCGAGCGUUGUCCGGAAUUACUGGGCGUAAAGGGUGCGUAGGCGGUGAGUCAGGUCUAAUGUGAAAUCCCCGUGCUUAACAUGGGGAUUGCAAUAGAAACUGAUUUGCUAGAGUGCAGGAGAGGUAAGCGGAAUUCCUAGUGUAGCGGUGAAAUGCAUAGAUAUUAGGAGGAACACCAGUGGCGAAGGCGGCUUACUGGACUGUAACUGACGCUGAAGCACGAAAGCGUGGGGAGCGAACAGGAUUAGAUACCCUGGUAGUCCACGCCGUAAACGAUGGAUACUAGGUGUAGGGCCGAAAAGGUUCUGUGCCGUAGUAAACGCAAUAAGUAUCCCGCCUGGGGAGUACGACCGCAAGGUUGA
RNAcentral lists this ribosomal RNA (373 nucleotides) under uncultured bacterium. RNAcentral describes it as "bacterial SSU rRNA". It matches the Rfam family "Bacterial small subunit ribosomal RNA", at positions 523 to 897 of the family's 1533-position model. The record is from RNAcentral.